GACGAACGCUGGCGGCGUGCCUAAUACAUGCAAGUAGAACGCUGAAGAGAGGAGCUUGCUCUUCUUGGAUGAGUUGCGAACGGGUGAGUAACGCGUAGGUAACCUGCCUUGUAGCGGGGGAUAACUAUUGGAAACGAUAGCUAAUACCGCAUAACAAUGGAUGACCCAUGUCAUUUAUUUGAAAGGGGCAAAUGCUCCACUACAAGAUGGACCUGCGUUGUAUUAGCUAGUAGGUGAGGUAACGGCUCACCUAGGCGACGAUACAUAGCCGACCUGAGAGGGUGAUCGGCCACACUGGGACUGAGACACGGCCCAGACUCCUACGGGGGGCAGCAGUAGGGAAUCUUCGGCAAUGGGGGCAACCCUGACCGAGCAACGCCGCGUGAGUGAAGAAGGUUUUCGGAUCGUAAAGCUCUGUUGUAAGUCAAGAACGAGUGUGAGAGUGGAAAGUUCACACUGUGACGGUAGCUUACCAGAAAGGGACGGCUAACUACGUGCCAGCAGCCGCGGUAAUACGUAGGUCCCGAGCGUUGUCCGGAUUUAUUGGGCGUAAAGCGAGCGCAGGCGGUUUGAUAAGUCUGAAGUUAAAGGCUGUGGCUCAACCAUAGUUCGCUUUGGAAACUGUCAAACUUGAGUGCAGAAUGGGAGAGUGGAAUUCCAUGUGUAGCGGUGAAAUGCGUAGAUAUAUGGAGGAACACCGGUGGCGAAAGCGGCUCUCUGGUCUGUAACUGACGCUGAGGCUCGAAAGCGUGGGGAGCGAACAGGAUUAGAUACCCUGGUAGUCCACGCCGUAAACGAUGAGUGCUAGGUGUUGGAUCCUUUCCGGGAUUCAGUGCCGCAGCUAACGCAUUAAGCACUCCGCCUGGGGAGUACGACCGCAAGGUUGAAACUCAAGGAAUUGACGGGGGCCCGCACAAGCGGUGGAGCAUGUGGUUUAAUUCGAAGCAACGCGAAGAACCUUACCAGGUCUUGACAUCCCGAUGCUAUUUCUAGAGAUAGAAAGUUACUUCGGUACAUCGGUGACAGGUGGUGCAUGGUUGUCGUCAGCUCGUGUCGUGAGAUGUUGGGUUAAGUCCCGCAACGAGCGCAACCCCUAUUGUUAGUUGCCAUCAUUCAGUUGGGCACUCUAGCGAGACUGCCGGUAAUAAACCGGAGGAAGGUGGGGAUGACGUCAAAUCAUCAUGCCCCUUAUGACCUGGGCUACACACGUGCUACAAUGGUUGGUACAACGAGUUGCGAGUCGGUGACGGCAAGCUAAUCUCUUAAAGCCAAUCUCAGUUCGGAUUGUAGGCUGCAACUCGCCUACAUGAAGUCGGAAUCGCUAGUAAUCGCGGAUCAGCACGCCGCGGUGAAUACGUUCCCGGGCCU
This 1368-nucleotide ribosomal RNA is filed under the name uncultured bacterium. Its description in RNAcentral is "bacterial SSU rRNA". It matches the Rfam family "Bacterial small subunit ribosomal RNA", at positions 28 to 1381 of the family's 1533-position model. The record is from RNAcentral.